GCAGCAGGCGCGUAACUUUUACACUGCACGCCAGUGCGAUAAGGGGAUCCCAAGUGCGUAGGCAUAGAGCCUACGCUUUUGUCUACCCUAGGGUGGUAGACGAAUAAGGGCUGGGCAAGACCGGUGCCAGCCGCCGCGGUAAUACCGGCAGCCCAAGUGAUGGCCGAUCUUAUUGGGCCUAAAGCGUCCGUAGCUGGCCGCACAAGUCCAUCGGGAAAUCCACCUGCUCAACAGGUGGCCGUCCGGUGGAAACUGUGUGGCUUGGGACCGGAAGGCGCGACGGGUACGUCCGGGGUAGGAGUGAAAUCCUGUAAUCCUGGACGGACCGCCGAUGGCGAAAGCACGUCGCGAAAACGGAUCCGACAGUGAGGGACGAAAGCUAGGGUCUCGAACCGGAUUAGAUACCCGGGUAGUCCUAGCCGUAAACACUGCCUGCUAGGUGUGGCUCCCACUACGAGUGGGUGCUGUGCCGUAGGGAAGCCGCUAAGCAGGCCGCCUGG
This 500-nucleotide ribosomal RNA is filed under the name uncultured Halorubrum sp. RNAcentral's name for it is "bacterial SSU rRNA". It matches the Rfam family "Archaeal small subunit ribosomal RNA", at positions 332 to 831 of the family's 1478-position model. Lineage: Archaea; Methanobacteriati; Methanobacteriota; Halobacteria; Halobacteriales; Haloferacaceae. The record is from RNAcentral.